Molecule: ribosomal RNA, 500 nt
Filed under: uncultured bacterium
Lineage: Bacteria
Description: partial 16S ribosomal RNA
Rfam family: Bacterial small subunit ribosomal RNA
Source: RNAcentral
AUUGAACGCUGGCGGCAUGCCUUACACAUGCAAGUCGAACGGCAGCACGGGAGCAAUCCUGGUGGCGAGUGGCGAACGGGUGAGUAAUGUAUCGGAACGUGCCCAGUCGUGGGGGAUAACGCAGCGAAAGCUGUGCUAAUACCGCAUACGAUCUAAGGAUGAAAGCGGGGGAUCGCAAGACCUCGCGCGAUUGGAGUGGCCGAUAUCAGAUUAGCUAGUGGGUGGGGUAAAGGCUCACCAAGGCGACGAUCUGUAGCUGGUCUGAGAGGACGACCAGCCACACUGGAACUGAGACACGGUCCAGACUCCUACGGGAGGCAGCAGUGGGGAAUUUUGGACAAUGGGCGCAAGCCUGAUCCAGCAAUGCCGCGUGCAGGAUGAAGGCCUUCGGGUUGUAAACUGCUUUUGUACGGAGCGAAAAGGCUCUCUCUAAUACGGGGGGCUCAUGACGGUACCGUAAGAAUAAGCACCGGCUAACUACGUGCCAGCCGCCGCCGUAA